AAUGUUAUAAGUGGUGCCAUUUCUAUAAUUUGAAAUCAAAUGCUAAAAAUCUCAACUCCAAUGGGGUUCUAUACUUGGAUGCAAAUAUGCAUAUAUGCAUCCUUGGUUCUAAAUUUGAAACCAAGGAUGCAUUUAUGCAUCCAUGCCACAUCAUCAACUAACUAUAAUUGGUAUAUAUAGUGGUGAACUUUAAACAAAGUUUAGGAGAGAGGGACUAAAGUUACUUAAUUUUGGAAUUAUUUGGAUGCAAAAUGCAUCUAGCAUUGGAGUUGAAGUUCUAUUUUAGCAACAAAAAAC
RNAcentral lists this long non-coding RNA (297 nucleotides) under Daucus carota (carrot). RNAcentral describes it as "long non-coding RNA (DCAR_LNC003603)". The record is from RNAcentral. Lineage: Eukaryota; Viridiplantae; Streptophyta; Magnoliopsida; Apiales; Apiaceae.